GAUGAACGCUAGCGGCAGGCCUAACACAUGCAAGUCGAGGGGUAGCAGGAUUAAGCUUGCUUAAUUGCUGACGACCGGCGCACGGGUGCGUAACGCGUAUGCAACCUGCCUUAUACUGGGGUAUAGCCCGGAGAAAUUCGGAUUAAUCCCCCAUAGUACUAAUGAAUCGCAUGGUUUAUUAGUUAAAGCAUUGCGGUAUAAGAUGGGCAUGCGUCCUAUUAGCUAGGUGGUGAGGUAACGGCUCACCAUGGCUACGAUAGGUAGGGGGCCGGAGAGGGUGGUCACCCACACUGGUACUGAGACACGGACCAGACGCCUGCGGGAGGCAGCAGUGAGGAAUAUUGGGCAAUGGGCGCAAGCCUGAACCAGCCAUGCCGCGUGCAGGAAGAAUGCCCUAUGGGUUGUAAACUGCUUUUAUUUGGGAAUAAACCUCUUUACGUGUAGAGAGCUGAAGGUACCAAAUGAAUAAGCACCGGCUAACUCCGUGCCAGCAGCCGCCGUAA
This 503-nucleotide ribosomal RNA is filed under the name uncultured bacterium. Its description in RNAcentral is "partial 16S ribosomal RNA". It matches the Rfam family "Bacterial small subunit ribosomal RNA", at positions 28 to 523 of the family's 1533-position model. The record is from RNAcentral.